AGAGUUUGAUCCUGGCUCAGGAUGAACGCUGGCGGCGUGCCUAAUACAUGCAAGUCGAGCGAACGGACGAGAAGCCUGCUUCUCUGAUGUUAGCGGCGGACGGGUGAGUAACACGUGGAUAACCUACCUAUAAGACUGGGAUAACUUCGGGAAACCGGAGCUAAUACCGGAUAAUAUUUUGAACCGCAUGGUUCAAAAGUGAAAGGCGGUCUUGCUGUCACUUAUAGAUGGAUCCGCGCUGCAUUAGCUAGUUGGUAAGGUAACGGCUUACCAAGGCAACGAUGCAUAGCCGACCUGAGAGGGUGAUCGGCCACACUGGAACUGAGACACGGUCCAGACUCCUACGGGAGGCAGCAGUAGGGAAUCUUCCGCAAUGGGCGAAAGCCUGACGGAGCAACGCCGCGUGAGUGAUGAAGGUCUUCGGAUCGUAAAACUCUGUUAUUAGGGAAGAACAUAUGUGUAAGUAACUGUGCACAUCUUGACGGUACCUAAUCAGAAAGCCACGGCUAACUACGUGCCAGCAGCCGCGGUAAUACGUAGGUGGCAAGCGUUAUCCGGAAUUAUUGGGCGUAAAGCGCGCGUAGGCGGUUUUUUAAGUCUGAUGUGAAAGCCCACGGCUCAACCGUGGAGGGUCAUUGGAAACUGGAAAACUUGGGUGCAGAAGAGGAAAGUGGAAUUCCAUGUGUAGCGGUGAAAUGCGCAGAGAUAAGGAGGAACACCAGUGGCGAAGGCGACUUUCUGGUCUGUAACUGACGCUGAUGUGCGAAAGC
This 770-nucleotide ribosomal RNA is filed under the name uncultured bacterium. RNAcentral describes it as "bacterial SSU rRNA". It matches the Rfam family "Bacterial small subunit ribosomal RNA", at positions 8 to 760 of the family's 1533-position model. The record is from RNAcentral.